AUUUAGAUGACGAGUCCCAAAUUGGACGAAAUGCGCAUCCUGGAU
RNAcentral lists this non-coding RNA (45 nucleotides) under Trichobilharzia regenti. Lineage: Eukaryota; Metazoa; Platyhelminthes; Trematoda; Strigeidida; Schistosomatidae. The record is from RNAcentral.